CCCUCGCUAGCUCAGAUGGCCUAGAGCACCCGACUCUUAAUCGGGGGGUCCGCGGUUCGAGUCCGUGGCGGGGGA
RNAcentral lists this transfer RNA (75 nucleotides) under Kribbella sp. CA-293567. Its description in RNAcentral is "tRNA-Lys". It matches the Rfam family "tRNA". Rfam says of the family: Transfer RNA (tRNA) molecules are approximately 80 nucleotides in length. Their secondary structure includes four short double-helical elements and three loops (D, anti-codon, and T loops). The record is from RNAcentral. Lineage: Bacteria; Bacillati; Actinomycetota; Actinomycetes; Propionibacteriales; Kribbellaceae.